GCGCAUAACACAUGCAAGUCGAGCGAGGGCUUAUCUCCCGCAAGGGAGGUGAGUUCCUAGCGGCGAACGGGUGAGUACACGUGGGCAACCUUUCCUAUCGCGGGGGAUAACACCGGGAAACCGAUGCUAAUACCGCAUGUCGUCACCGGUCGCAUGGCCGGUGAAGAAAGCAGCAAUGCACGAUGGGGUGGGCCCGCGGCCUAUCAGCUAGUCGGUGGGGUAACGGCCUACCGAGGCGAUGACGGGUAGCUGGUCUGAGAGGACGACCAGCCACACGGGGACUGAGACAUUGGCCCG
Molecule: ribosomal RNA, 297 nt
Filed under: uncultured bacterium
Lineage: Bacteria
Description: partial 16S ribosomal RNA
Rfam family: Bacterial small subunit ribosomal RNA
Source: RNAcentral